RNAcentral lists this ribosomal RNA (302 nucleotides) under uncultured bacterium. RNAcentral's name for it is "partial 16S ribosomal RNA". It matches the Rfam family "Bacterial small subunit ribosomal RNA", at positions 508 to 807 of the family's 1533-position model. The record is from RNAcentral.
GCAGUCGCCGCGGGAAUACGAAGGGUGCAAGCGUUACUCGGAAUUACUGGGUGUAAAGCGUGCGUAGGUGGUGGUUUAAGUCCGUUGUGAAAGCCCUGGGCUCAACCUGGGAAUUGCAGUGGAUACUGGCUCGCUAGAGUGUGUCAGAGGAUGGUGGAAUUCCCGGUGUAGCGGUGAAAUGCGUAGAGAUCGGGAGGAACAUCAGUGGCGAAGGCGGCCAUCUGGGACAACACUGACGCUGAGGCACGAAAGCGUGGGGAGCAAACAGGAUUAGAUACCCGAGUAGUCCCUGUCUCUUAUAC